GCCAAUUACUAGUAUAUUAGCGGACAAUGAAAGUGAUAGGCUUAGCAGUGACAAACCAUCUAAGUUGCAGGUGAUUUUAAUUAGUUUGAUCAUAAUUUGAUCAUAAUCAUUCCACAUGAAAAAGUUGUUUGGUCUGUCUUGUAAUUAAAAACUAACAUAAAUGAAUAUAACAGCAGCUUUUUGGCCUCUGCCUCAUAGAAUCUCUCAUUCCCUUUUAAGGCAAGGAGUUGCACACUUGCAGCUUUUGGCCUUGAAUUUGUUGCCAUUGAUCUAGUUUUGUUUUAAGUUGCUGUGGUUGCAAUGAAGCAGUUGGGGGUUAUGUGAUUAUGGAGAUGCAGGUAUGUGCCGUGUGUGGCUGCAAAAUGAGAGUGAUGUAAAGAAGGAAAAGAGAGAAAUAGGGAGAGUUUUUUAGAAAGGAAUUUUAAGCUUCAUUUUUUUAACUAUUGCAACUCUGUUUUUUUUCCCCCUUUUUAAUGUUUCAACUUUCAACUAAUUAAUACUGCCACAUGCAGAUUUUGUAACGCAUGACAAUGUUCUAAGAUUGAAAUGGUUUUCAUGGUUGACUGUGAAUUUUUCAAAAUGUUGUUGUAAGACAUGAAGAAUGUUAUAUUCACGAGUCAAG
RNAcentral lists this unclassified non-coding RNA (622 nucleotides) under Hevea brasiliensis (rubber tree). The record is from RNAcentral. Lineage: Eukaryota; Viridiplantae; Streptophyta; Magnoliopsida; Malpighiales; Euphorbiaceae.